This 232-nucleotide ribosomal RNA is filed under the name uncultured bacterium. RNAcentral describes it as "partial 16S ribosomal RNA". It matches the Rfam family "Bacterial small subunit ribosomal RNA", at positions 1261 to 1500 of the family's 1533-position model. The record is from RNAcentral.
CCGGAUGCGGAUCUCGAAAGCCUGUCCCAGUUCGGACUGGAGUCUGCAACCCGACUCCACGAAGUUGGAUUCGCUAGUAAUCGCGCAUCAGCCAUGGCGCGGUGAAUACGUUCCCGGGCCUUGUACACACCGCCCGUCAAGCCAUGGGAGCCGGGGGCGCCUGAAGUCCGGGACCGCGAGGACCGGCCUAGGGCGAAACUGGUAACGUGGGGCUAAGUCGUAACAAGGUACC